AGUGGACGCUGGCGGUAGGCCUAACACAUGCAAGUCGAACGGCAGCACAGUAAGAGCUUGCUCUUACGGGUAGCGAGUGGCGGACGGGUGAGGAAUACAUCGGAAUCUACUUUUUCGUGGGGGAUAACGUAGGGAAACUUACGCUAAUACCGCAUACGACCUACGGGUGAAAGCAGGGGAUCUUCGGACCUUGCGCGAUUGAAUGAGUCGAUGUCGGAUUAGCUAGUUGGCGGGGUAAAGGCCCACCAAGGCGACGAUCCGUAGCUGGUCUGAGAGGAUGAUCAGCCACACUGGAACUGAGACACGGUCCAGACUCCUACGGGAGGCAGCAGUGGGGAAUAUUGGACAAUGGGCGCAAGCCUGAUCCAGCCAUACCGCGUGGGUGAAGAAGGCCUUCGGGUUGUAAAGCCCUUUUGUUGGGAAAGAAAAGCAGCAGGUUAAUACCCCGCUGUUCUGACGGUACCCAAAGAAUAAGCACCGGCUAACUUCGUG
RNAcentral lists this ribosomal RNA (492 nucleotides) under uncultured bacterium. RNAcentral describes it as "partial 16S ribosomal RNA". It matches the Rfam family "Bacterial small subunit ribosomal RNA", at positions 29 to 507 of the family's 1533-position model. The record is from RNAcentral.